UGCAAGUCGAGGGGCAGCAUGAAAUUUAUUUAUUUAGAUUUUGAUGGCGACCGGCGGACGGGUGCGUAACACGUAUGUAACCUACCUUUUUCUAGAAAAUAGCCUGAGGAAACUCGGAUUAAUGUUCUAUAAUACAGUAUUUUCGCAUGAAAAUAUUAUUAAAGCAGAAAUGCGGAAAAAGAUGGGCAUGCGCCCGAUUAGUUAGUUGGUGGGGUAAAAGCCUACCAAGACGAUGAUCGGUAGGGGGCCUGAGAGGGUGAUCCCCCACACUGGUACUGAGAUACGGACCAGACUCCUACGGGAGGCAGCAGUGAGGAAUAUUGGUCAAUGGAGGAAACUCUGAACCAGCCACGCCGCGUGCAGGAAGAAUGCCUUAUGGGUUGUAAACUGCUUUUGUUUAGGAAUAAAAAUUUCUACGUGAUAGAAAUUCUGAAGGUACUAGACGAAUAAGUGUCGGCAAACUCCGUGCCAGCAGCCGCGGUAAUACGGAGGACACAAGCGUUAUCCGGAUUUAUUGGGUUUAAAGAGUGCGUAGGCGGUUUAUUAAGUCAGUAGUGAAAUGUUACAGCUUAACUGUUAAAAUGGCUAAUGAUACUGAUUAGACUUGAGUUAGAUUGGAGUAACUGGAAUGUGUGGUGUAGCGGUGAAAUGCAUAGAGAUCACACAGAACACCGAUCGCGAAAGCAGGUUACUAAAUUUAUACUGACGCUGAGGCACGAAAGCGUGGGGAGCAAACAGGAUUAGAUACCCUGGUAGUCCACGCCGUAAACGAUGAUCACUAGUCGUUGGAUUUUAUUAUUCAGUGGCUAAGCGAAAGUGAUAAGUGAUCCACCUGGGGAGUACGACCGCAAGGUUGAAACUCAAAGGAAUUGACGGGGGCCCGCACAAGCGGUGGAGCAUGUGGUUUAAUUCGAUGAUACGCGAGGAACCUUACCAAGGUUUAAAUGUACUACGAAUAAGCUAGAAAUAGUUUAGUCUUCGGACGGAGUACAAGAUGCUGCAUGGUUGUCGUCAGCUCGUGCCGUGAGGUGUUGGGUUAAGUCCCUCAACGAGCGCAACCCUCAUUGUUAGUUGCCAACGAAUAAUGUCGGGGACUCUAGCAAGACUGCCGACGUAAGUCGAGAGGAAGGUGGGGACGACGUCAAAUCAUCACGGCUCUUAUACCUUGGGCUACACACGUGCUACAAUGGUCGGUACAAAGGGUUGCUACUGAGCAAUCAAAGCUAAUCUCUAAAAACCGAUCUCAGUUCGGAUUGGAGUCUGCAACUCGAC
RNAcentral lists this ribosomal RNA (1272 nucleotides) under Blattabacterium punctulatus. RNAcentral's name for it is "bacterial SSU rRNA". It matches the Rfam family "Bacterial small subunit ribosomal RNA", at positions 56 to 1316 of the family's 1533-position model. The record is from RNAcentral. Lineage: Bacteria; Pseudomonadati; Bacteroidota; Flavobacteriia; Flavobacteriales; Blattabacteriaceae.